GACGAACGCUGGCGGCGUGCCUAAUACAUGCAAGUAGAACGCUGAAGGAGGAGCUUGCUUCUCUGGAUGAGUUGCGAACGGGUGAGUAACGCGUAGGUAACCUGCCUGGUAGCGGGGGAUAACUAUUGGAAACGAUAGCUAAUACCGCAUAAUAGUAGAUGUUGCAUGACAUUUGCUUAAAAGGUGCAAUUGCAUCACUACCAGAUGGACCUGCGUUGUAUUAGCUAGUUGGUGAGGUAACGGCUCACCAAGGCAACGAUACAUAGCCGACCUGGGAGGGGGAUCGGCCACACUGGGACUGAGACACGGCCCAGACUCCUACGGGAGGCAGCAGUAGGGAAUCUUCGGCAAUGGACGGAAGUCUGACCGAGCAACGCCGCGGGAGUGAAGAAGGGUUUCGGAUCGUAAAGCUCUGUUGUAAGAGAAGAACGAGUGUGAGAGUGGAAAGUUCACACUGUGACGGUAUCUUACCAGAAAGGGACGGCUAACUACGUG
Molecule: ribosomal RNA, 495 nt
Filed under: uncultured bacterium
Lineage: Bacteria
Description: partial 16S ribosomal RNA
Rfam family: Bacterial small subunit ribosomal RNA
Source: RNAcentral